Molecule: unclassified non-coding RNA, 520 nt
Filed under: uncultured Glomus
Lineage: Eukaryota; Fungi; Glomeromycota; Glomeromycetes; Glomerales; Glomeraceae
Description: SSU rRNA
Rfam family: Eukaryotic small subunit ribosomal RNA
Source: RNAcentral
AGCAGCCGCGGUAAUUCCAGCUCCAAUAGCGUAUAUUAAAGUUGUUGCAGUUAAAAAGCUCGUAGUUGAAUUUCGGGGUUAGUAGGUUGGUCAUGCCUCUGGUAUGUACUGGUCUCACUGAUUCCUCCUUCCUGAUGAGCCGUAAUGCCAUUAAUUUGGUGUUGCGGGGAAUCUGGACUGUUACUUUGAAAAAAUUAGAGUGUUUAAAGCAAGCUAACGCUUGAAUACAUUAGCAUGGAAUAAUGAAAUAGGACGUUCGAUCCUAUUUUGUUGGUUUCUAGGAUUGACGUAAUGAUUAAUAGGGAUAGUUGGGGGCAUUAGUAUUCAAUUGUCAGAGGUGAAAUUCUUGGAUUUAUUGAAGACUAACUACUGCGAAAGCAUUUGCCAAGGAUGUUUUCAUUAAUCAAGAACGAAAGUUAGGGGAUCGAAGACGAUCAGAUACCGUCGUAGUCUUAACCAUAAACUAUGCCGACUAGGGAUCGGAUGAUGUUAAUUUUUUAAUGACUCAUUCGGCGCCUUA